GAGAUAGAGGCGCGGGAUUCAUCAGUACCCGUCGGCAAGGCCAGGCUGCCGCCGUCGGAGAAAGGGGAGACCGCCGAAGUUCCGGACAAGCGGCCUGGCUUGCCCGGUGCUGGGUCGGCAGAGAACAUCUGCCGGACUGUCACAAGUUUUUGUGGAGUGCUAUCA
This 165-nucleotide non-coding RNA is filed under the name human gut metagenome. RNAcentral's name for it is "Lysine riboswitch". It matches the Rfam family "Lysine riboswitch aptamer". From Rfam's summary of the family: Riboswitches are metabolite binding domains within certain messenger RNAs that serve as precision sensors for their corresponding targets. Allosteric rearrangement of mRNA structure is mediated by ligand binding, and this results in modulation of gene expression. The record is from RNAcentral.